ACAGAGGUCCCAAGCGUUGUUCGGAUUCACUGGGCGUAAAGGGUGCGCAGGUGGCAUGGUAAGUUUGAUGUGAAAGCCCCGGGCUUAACCCGGGAAUGGCAUUGAAUACUAUCGUGCUGGAGGUUUGGAGGGGGGACUGGAAUUCUUGGUGUAGCAGUGAAAUGCGUAGAUAUCAAGAGGAACACCAGUGGCGAAGGCGAGUCCCUGGACAACACCUGACACUGAGGCACGAAAGCUAGGGGAGCAAACAGGA
Molecule: ribosomal RNA, 253 nt
Filed under: uncultured prokaryote
Description: partial 16S ribosomal RNA
Rfam family: Bacterial small subunit ribosomal RNA
Source: RNAcentral